AUCCAGGGAUGACAGGAUAGCCGAAGAGGGACAUGGAUCUUGGGGUGGGAGAGAUCCACCGGGGUCAGAUAAGGUCACCAGGGAUCAGGCAAAACCCCUGUGGUAGGACACUGUGAAUUUGGAGGAUCACUGAAAUCAGAAAGUCCCUGGUGUCUGUCAAGGUCCCCAGGGUCCAAUAGGAUUCCCAGGGUCCCUGGGGUCAGAUACAGUUCCUGGGGCCAGGCAGUGUCCCAGGGAUCAGGCUAGACCCCGUGGUAGGAAGUCCCUGAAAUCAGCAGGUCCCAAAGGUCGGGGGCUUCCUGGUGUCUCACAUGGUCCCCUGGGACUAGGGAGGAUCCCAUUAAAUCGGGCCAGACCCCUGUAAUAAAACAGUGCCUGAAAUCAUAGAUUUCUCAGGGUCAGGCUGGGUUCUGGGGGUGAGGCAGGGUCCAGGGUGGCACAGUGUCCCUGUGCUGGGGCCAGGUCAGGCCCCAGGAGCAGCAGGACAGGGCACAGGGUGUAGGGAGGCAAGGGAUGCUCCAUGAAGCCUGCAAGGAGCUAUGCCCCGGGCUCAGGUCCAUGUAGCCAUGUGCCUCCCUCAGCCACAACAGUGACUUCUGGCCAUGGGGUGGUCUCUGGACAGUGGAUUUUGGCAGAGGGGUGAUGCCACUUGUUCACCCAAGGUAAACAGCUGGGGAAUGGUCUUUGGUAGCAGAACUGGUUAACACUAGUCAUGCUCAGAGCUAUUGUUCUCCACUGGUAUUCAGCUUUACAGACUUCUGCAGCUAUUUCAGGCCUGCUGGAGGGCUCGUGUACCCAACAGCCUGCCUGGUUUUUCUUCUAAUUAUUUCAGUCAGUCUAAAAAAAGACAUUACCUCCCUCUGCAAACCUUGCCUCCAUUGUUCUCAGCACAGAAAAUAAGAAGGAAAGGAGAAUAAAAGUCUGACACCCUCUACCUCCAGGUUAAAUCCUCUUCUGCAUAGGUAUGGCAAGUGCUAAGAGGAAAAACAAGAGGCAGCUUCUGCUAACCAGAGGCAGAAGGGAUAGUAGUGUAUCCAUCAGGGCAGGCUACCCCCAUCCUGCAGGGCCAGGGGUUAAUGGAGGAGCUGGGAAUCACCCUGGGACACACCAGGACUUGAAAUGAGAAAUCCUGGUACUGUCAAGGCACGUUGGCAGAAGAAUGAUUGCCGUGUCAGCAAAAAGACAUCUCACAUGGGAGGGAGCAGCUAAUAGCUGUGCUGUGAUGAAUCUGGGUUUUGACAAGAGGCUGAGGCACCAAACACACUCGGAAAAGCCAGGGGAGGACAGAUGGGGUCUGACUGCUUAUAACUGGUGUGAGCAGGGAGAGAACAUCAAGAGGGAGGAUGCAUUGUGCUGACAACCAUGGUCAGGGCAUUGUCCAAGCACUGCACUUGCCCUCCCUCUCCUCUCACCUGCAGGAUUUUGGGGUAAGACCCUCCCAUUUGCUCCAGCUGCACAGGGCUGCAAGAGCAGCAGGGGCUGAGCCAGAACUGGAGCUCCUAAGAGAAACUACACACAAAUAAUUAUUAGUGAUAAUUAGCAAAAACACACUGAUGACAUCUCCUUCCUAUCAGCUUAGCUCAGUUUGGCAAAGGCUCUGGUCUCGCUGAGACAAUCCCCAUGUUGUAUAAACACCUUCUGUGGCCUCCCCUGCUCCUCCUCCAUGGCCAAGAGCCAAAUCAGGCAAAGAAAAUGCUGCCACAAGCAUCAGUGGUGGCACAGAAGGGCCUGGCCAGUGGCCAGGGGUUUGACAACAUCCUUCAGGUUCCUUCUUUACCUGGCACAACAGGCACCUCCGAAAAAUAUGACAAGAAAAUCAUGACUGGCCAUCAGCAUUCAGAGCUGUCACCAAGCUAGCAUUAGCUCUCUGCUGCCUAACACCAGGUGGACCUGGAGAGACCCACUCUGACCUGCUCCAGCACUGCAGGGAAACCUGUCGUUUGCAAGAGGAUGUUCAGUUCACAACCACGGGGAGAUACAUGUCUGGAAGAGAAGAGCCAGCUAUCUGCCAAAGCCAUCAGCCUGCAAGCGCUCGCAGGAACUCGUGUGCUCUCCCUGCUGAUCUUGCUGGUUUAGUAAGGAAAAGCAGUCCUGGCUGCAGAGGAUGUCUGGUGCUCACAGGAGGGACAAAGCAGAUCCAAAACUGUAGCAUCGUGGCCACCCAGAGAACACUGGAUCCAGUCUGGUCACCCAAAUACCGCCUGCCUGCAGCUUCUGAGCAAGGCUCAGACAAAAGAAAACCCAUCCAAACUGUGGGUUUAUGUUUGUUUUCCACGCUCCCUUGUUGAAAUUCCAUGUCAAAGAUUUACAAGUCCCUGGAGGGGAGCAGGGACUGCAGCCGAGAGCCCGCUGCUUUGCCAUCGCUUCUGUGUGCUGGAGUGAGCCGGGGCAGCUGCCGGAGGACGCUGGAGGCAUUGUGCUGCCGGACAGGUUUGAAGGCUGGUGUUAAUAAGCUGGUGUUAAUGGGCUGGUGUUAAUGGGCACCCUGAUGGUGAGAAGUCAGCACUGGAGCCGAGCCGUGCUGGGGCUGGAGCUGGGGGUUCUUCCACGUGUCUGUCACCGGAGAGGGAAGAGUCAAGCUGCAGUAACUCCCCGGUGCAGACAAGAUGCUGAACUGCAUCGCUUUAAUUAUGCCAGCGCAAAUUUCAUUCAUUUGGUUAAGCCUGGGAGCUACAGAAAGAGCUAUUUCCAGGUGUGCUGGUUUAAUUAUUGGAUGUCCUGGAUUGCCCACCGUGCACAGCUGCAUGGUCGGGGUUUGUCGGGCUCUCCUGCAGACCGGGACAAGUUCGCAGCCAUCAGCACGGCGGUGGCCCCGCUCACGCCUCUGUGCAGCCCAGCGCACGGGCUCUGCUUGGGUCAGAUAAAUGGGUUUUAACCUGAUUUGUACUGUAAUCUCCAUGUCGACAGGCUGUCAUCACGCACAGGAUAAAACCCCAGCUCCUGUGGCCGGGGGCCCGUGGGGUUUCACCGGGCAGCUCCUGCCAGCAAGGCUGGCCGAUGAUUCCAAGCCAAGUGCCUUUCCUGUCCUGGCAUCCCAGGGACACCUCUGGACCGUGGGCGCUUGCAAAACGGCUUUUGUUUGCUUAACUCCUUGCACUGGAGCAGACAGGGGCACAGCUCCCACUGUCCUGUCCCUCCUCCACAAGCAGGAACAGGGUGACAAUCCUGCUGCCCAUGGUAGGCAGCUCAGUGCCAGCCCUGCCAUCCCACCCCUGGCAAAAAAUAGCACCUUCUGUGUGCGUUAUUUGUACUUUCCUUUUCUGAACGUGCCUUAAAAAAGAAGGGUUUUGUUUUCAAAGAAACAGCAUUUCAAUUACAUUCUUCUCUGCUCGUCCAGCUCUUCUCUGUAACCCCAUUGCUGUACAGAGCAUUGAGCGUGCGUGGGACGUGGUGGGAUUUUAACUGUAAUUCACGGACAGAUAUAAAAUGCCAGGGUUAUUAUGAAUUUUAUUCAGGAGAGAUUAAAUGUUACUGGUUCAGCA
Molecule: long non-coding RNA, 3482 nt
Organism: Parus major (Great Tit)
Lineage: Eukaryota; Metazoa; Chordata; Aves; Passeriformes; Paridae
Exons: 5
Source: RefSeq, a predicted model, not a curated record